Phyllopteryx taeniolatus (common seadragon) is the source of this 1342-nucleotide RNA transcript. It is a transcript of the gene named chloride channel, nucleotide-sensitive, 1A, with no coding region annotated. The record is from RefSeq and is a predicted model, not a curated record. The transcript is spliced from 7 exons. NCBI's taxonomy places the organism in Eukaryota, Metazoa, Chordata, Actinopteri, Syngnathiformes, Syngnathidae.
CGCGAGAUCUCGCGAAGCCGUCAAAAACGUCCCACUUGGAGCGGCACCUAGCUAAGUGGCGAACGUUUCCGUCUACUUUGUUUUUUUGUGAACAACGCGACGAGUUUGGUCCUUUGAGCCCUGGAAGCCCACGCACAGCCCGGCUGGCUAUUUCAGGUCCUCCGCGUGCUCACUAAAUAAAUGAACGGGAUUUGUUGUGCACUCGCUAAACUAAGCUAAGCUAAAAUAAGCUAAGGUUUCGCCACACGGAGAGCUUGUUUGCUGUCGGCGUCCUCGUCGAGGGUUUCAACGCGCGAUGGUUUUGCUGAAGAACCUCCGGCCUCCUACCGAGGGAGUUCGGCUCCAGCAGGCCGACACGGCGGCCGUCCUGGACGGACACAAGCUGGGCAACGGGACGCUCUAUGUCGCCGAAACGCGUCUGUCUUGGUUUGACGGCGCGGGGUUGGGUUUCUGUCUGGAGUAUCCCACCAUCGGCCUGCACGCCAUCUCCAGAGACGUCAGCGCGUACCCCCAAGAACAUCUCUACGUCAUGGUCAACGGAAAACUCACCGACGAGAAUGAGGCAGAAAUGGCGGAGAAGGAAGCGGACGAGGAGGAUGACGGAGUGGGUAGUGAGGAGGAAGAGGAGGAAGAGGAGGAUGGUGGUGGAGAUGAUGAAGAGGAAGGCGGCAUCACAGAGAUUCGAUUUGUGCCUGGUGACAAAGCAGCACUGGAGUCAAUGUUUGCGGCCAUGUGCGAGUGUCAGGCGCUGCAUCCCGAUCCUGAGGACGAGGACGACUCCGACAACGACUUUGAAGGAGAAGAGUACGACGUGGAGGAGGCCGAGGCCGGUAAGCAACUCACCGCACUUCAACCCGUUGUCACCACGGCAACCGGCAUCCCUUUUAAACCCCGCGCGUAUUCCCGUCCGAAUCAGAGCACGGCCACGCCGACAUCCCGACGUUCUACACGUGUGACGAGGGCCUGUCGGCGCUGACUCAGGAGGGCCAGGCCACGCUGGAGAGGCUGGAGGGCAUGUUGGCGCACAGCGUGGCGCAGCGCUACCACAUGGGCGGCGUACGCACCGAGCAGGGGGACGCGCGCUUUGAAGAUGGCAUGGAGGUGGACGCCGACACCGAGGCGGGACAGUUCGAGGACGCGGACGUUGACCACUGAUGGACCACAGGUGCAUCAUGGGAGCACUUCCUGUUUGUUUCAGGCAUUUCCUGUUUGUAGCUGUCAAUCAUCCCAACUCGUUUGCCACUAAACUAGUUCAUUCCCAUCAAGUUACUUUUUGUAUGGAAACAAUAUAACAGUGUGGUAUACUUUCUAGUCAAUUAUCAAUAAAAGAUUAAUUUUUCUA